UACUUUUGGAGACACUGCAGAUCCUGUUUUAGUUUGGAAAUUCAGUGUAGACAGAAGGAAAUUCAGACUUGAAAGAAAAUGAAGCUGUGGAUGCACACAUUUAUUCCUUAUAUAAUAUUGCAACUGUCCAGAUGUGCAAAUUGCACCAUAGGCUUCGAGUUUCUCUUUGGAUGUCAGUGAUCGGGGAGUCAAGGCUUAAUGGUUAAAGAGUCAGACUCGUGACCAGAAGGUUGCUGGUUUGAUUCUCAGGGCCAGCGGGUAACGACCGAGGUGCCCUUGAGCAAGGCAAUAUACUGUACCCCUACUUGCUACCCGGGCGCUGCAGUGAUAGCUGCCCACUGCUCCAGGUGUAUGUGUGUUCACGUCUUGCUGUACAUGUGUUCACUACUCUCUGGAUGGGUUAAAUGAAGAGGUCACAUUUCGGGUAUGGGUCACCAUUUCUGACAAAUUGGUAACUUUCACUUCACUUCAUUUAAAUCAAUGGUUCUCCAGCUUUUUCACUGUAAAAAGCUUGAGGGUCCCCCCUUGUAUGGUCCCCAAUGCUUUGUGCCCCCCCCAAAUAAAGACUUAUGAUCUUUAACUUAGAAUUUUUUUAAACCAAAGACAUAUGCAAUUAUUCUACAAUGCUGGAACAUCAAUUCUUUAGGUUGGUGGUCAUAUUUUUUUUAUGUUUGAUUGCAAAAUAAUGUAUGAUACAUCUCUAUAUUUCAUACAAUUUGUAAUCAACACAUUCACAGCGCACACCCAUAUCAUAAGCAGCACAGACCUUUCUCUGUAAUAUAAAAAAAGCAAAAAGUAAAUAAAAAAGUACAGACAAGUUUGUAUUGUACUUUUAUCCCCUGCUUAAGUAAAGAAAGCAGUGGUUCCCAAACCUGUUCCGGGGGACCCACUGCUCUGAGCUGAAAUGAGUCGAAAGACUUAUCACAACAGACUGGGGUGGCAUGCAAAUUGAAGCGCUGUGGUGCUUCAAUCAAAUCGUUUAGGGAUCUUUAGGGAUCUAGAGAGAUUAGGUGAUAUUAGAUUCAUAUUGUGAGAAAAUGGCAGCAGUUUUUUAACCUUGGAUGCAUACAAGCGUGUUGGUGGGGACCCCAAUACAAUAUCAGAAUACUCAUAAAUGCCUUGCCACCCGCUCUUAACUGUUACGCUGGGCUGGAGUUAGUGGGCAGAAGAAAGUAGUCCCCCAGUACACACUUGUGCCGUCGAACUGCUGUUAUCUCAAACUUGUGGCAUUGACCUGAAUAUAUCUACUUCAUUCACACACAAUUUUAAGCAAUAUAUUAAUGCAACAUUGUUCCCGUAGUCGUGUUAUAUGGCUCUAUAUCAGCAUGGCAGUAAUUGUCUCCUGUUCUCGGCCUGCGGCCUUGUGCGUCUAGCCUACUCACAGCCAUGCUCAUAUAGAACUACAUUAUCACAUUAUUGACCAUUAUAUGUUUUCUCAAGAAUUGCUGAGUUUAAUUUAUACCAAUAAAAGCAGUAUUAAACAUAAAUGCACUUGACUAAACAGUCUCUGGUGAUCCUCACCUUUAUCAGUAGUCCAGAUAUUUACCAGAAGUGCAUAGAUGUAGCAGCGGCUGCAGCGACAGAAAAACAAAGUCAGGGCUCUAGUCUAACAUUUGAGAUUCAAUAGUUGGUCGCACCAGAGUCGUGGGGUGAGGCAAGUAAAAGGAAACACUGAAACUGCAUUCAAACUUGUUUAAUACAUAACUAAUUAAUUACAAAUUAAAUCAAAUCAUUAUUGUUUAUACAUACACUUAAAUUACUGUAUGCUUUGCCAAGCUCUAAACAUAUUGUCUGGACUUGUUUUUUGGUCACUUCUGGGCCUUUUAAAUUUAUUUGAUUAAAUCGUCUCAUGUCUUUUGUUUGAGAGAAGACCUAAGGAUAUUUUCUACUGGCCUUGGCAAAAAUAAAUGUAAUAAAGCAAACAUACAAAUGAAAUAAUUAGGGCCAGGUGUUUCAUGAAGGUUUGAAACAGAAACUCAAUGAAGAAAUCAAAUGUAAUGUAAAUGCACUUUAUACUCUUCACUGUACAAAUUAAGUAUAUAUUAAAGCUUAUUUAGGUUACUUAGGUUAAUAUGUCAGGAGCUGUGUGUUUUGUUUGUCUUAAUUUAGAUUAAUCGUGAUUUUCACUAAAUAUUGCUUAAAUCUACCCGAUUUGUGCAAUCAUUGUGAUAUCGCAGCGGUUUUGAUCAUGUGUUAGUGAGCAGCUUGUCUGGGAAGCACGGCUCUAUGAUCAGUACAAAGUGCUACCCCUUCUGAAAUCACUAUGAGUUUGGGGAAGGGGAGACUAUUAUGCAUUCUGACUUUUUUACACUGUUAAACGUGUUGGCUUCUCAUGCUUAACAUGGUCAUCUUGUUCAAAAACGAGUUGGACUUAUGACGUAGUAUUUCUGUGGUUGAUACACUCCCCCAGCACUCAGGAAAGUCUUAUAUACAUCUGGAUCCCUGUUUCGUAACAUGUUUCUCUGAUUCUAACAGUCAGGACAACUUUUUGCUACCUCAUCUAUCUCUUCAUCUAAUCUCAGCGGUGGGGGUGUAAUGACGCGAUAAGCCCACAAUAGUCAGCCAGAUUGUACAGUCAGAUAAUUUUGUCGAAUAAGGUAGGGUUUGUGUUUGUCUAACAUUUUCCCUCUCUUACCCUGAGAAAUCAAGGCUAUCACUUCUGACAGGACAGGGUCAGUUCAUGCGAAUCGGUUGACUUGCACAGCAGUAAGAGGUGGACUCUGUACUUCUUUGAAGUAAAAGAUCUCAGCUUGUUAACAUUCUGGAGGUGAGUCUGGCAGAGCCCGUCUGGACAGUCCAUCUGUGUUACAGUGCUGCUCAAAUCACUUGUAUGUGAUGUGGUACUGAUGAGAGAGGGAAUACAUGUUUGAAGUGGUCUGUGAGCAGCGUAAAUCUGUCGAUGUCAUGUCCUAGGUAUUCAAUGGUUGGGCUAAAUAAUUCACAUAUGUCUAUCUUUACCCGAAGGCCGUACUCUUUUAACUUCUGUAAUGUUGCAUUAGGGUUUCUGAGAUUAUCUUCACCAUCUUUCCCAGUGAUCAGUAGGUCAUCGAGAUCUGUACUCCAUUUAAGCCACUCAGGAUCUGGUCCAUGGUCAGGACAGGGUUGAUAGUGACCUUAAAAUCACCACAAAUUCUGACAGAUCCAUCCUUCUUCAGGAACAAUUGGUGUUCCCCAUUCGCUAACACUCACUUUCUUUAACACUCCUGCUUUUUCCAGAAAAUCAAAUUACGUCUCCGCCUUUAGCUUAAUUGCAUAUGGAGAAGGGCGGGCCUUUAAGCAUUUAGAUUUACUGUCCGACAUAAUGGACAGCUUUUCCAGUAAUAACUUUCUUUCAUGCUGCCAAGUUUUUCUGAAAAUACCUCUGCAUGCUUCCUCAGGAAGAGGAAGUUAACUGACUCAAUUAAAUGCCAAUUUGGCUUUAUUUUCUCUAGUCAUGAUCGGCCCAUUAGUGCUGUGUGGCUAUUACCUUUCACGACAUAGAGUGGCAGUUUUACCUUCUGUUUCUUCAGCUCAACAGUCAAACCACAACUCCUAGAAGAGGUACAAGCUCUCCUGUGUAUGUCUUUAAAGUCAUCUUAGCCUCUCUGGGAGACAGAUAUGGCCAGUUCUUGGUAAGUUGAUUAUGCCAUGAGCAAAACAGCUGCUCCAGUGUCCAGUUGCAUGGGAAUGCACUUUCCAUCUAGCAGUGACGUCACCCAGAAUCCCGCAGAAUUUGAAGACGCAGACAUUACAUGUGUAAAUUGAAUCCUCUUGAUGUCUUGUUUCGUUUUCUACCUGUCAACUUUGUGGACUUGGAUAGAAGUACUUAACCCUUGACCUCUUUUGCAGCCUUUUCCAUAGAAACACUGAUUUCCAUUGCACGCUCCAGUAUCAGAUAACUUUCAUAUAAAAUACGUUUUUGAAUGGUCUCACUGCGCAGUCUGUACACAAAUCUGUCUCUUAUAGUGUCAUUCUGUGUUGCUCCAAACUCGCAGUGUUCAGAGAGGCGUUUCAAUAGCGCAACAAAUUGUGCAAUUGAUUCUCCCUCUAACUGGUUACAUUUAUGGAAGCGAAAUCUUUCUCCAGUGAUGAGUGCUUUUUGGUGCAUAAUGUACUUUGAGCAAUAUUACAAUUUCCUUGAAUGAGCAAUCACCAGGCUUAUUAGGCUGGUCCAAGCUACGCAGUAGAUUAUAUAUUUUGCCGCCCAUUACACUCAUAAAGGUCGGCAAGAGAACUUCAUCUUUUAUCCCGUUAGCCUUGACAAAACACUCAAACCGCUCUGUGUACGAACUCCAUUGCUCAAUACUUUCAUCAUAUUGUCCAAUUCCCCCAACUAAACCAGCCAUCUCUCUCUCAAUGUACUUUCCCACUCGCGGUUUUGUUGUUUCCUCUUCGAUCACAUUUUGGAUUGACUUUCUGGCGUGAGGCAGUUUACUCUUUUCCUUUACUUUUAUUCUACUAGAGCGAGUUUUACCCACACAUUCUGUGCCUCGGAUGCACAUGUGGAUUAUCAAUAAUGUGUGCCAAAUUCUGUCUAACUCACCCAGCAGUGUCGCGCAAGUAAAUUGCGUUGAUCCUCGUCGACAUUUUUGUUAGGUCGCUGGUAAAGUAUCAGUCAAUAUGAUAAAGACACGGUGUCAUAACUUCAUGUAACUUUUUACUGGUUUCAGUUUGCAAGCACAACACUUCUACACAGCACAUUCGCUUAACACACAUCUGGGAUUACACAGGUCUCUUAAAGGAAUAGAAAACAAUAUAGUGCGAAACAUACACAACACCGAGAACACAUUGAUGAAGAGGAAUCAAGGGCUCCAUCCGAAAUCGCCUACUUCCAUACUAUAUAGCAGGCCAAAAUGAGUAUGAGUCAUGAAUAGUAUGUCCGAAAACUCAGUGUGCAAAAAACAGUAGGUGAGAAACACUGGAUGGUCUACUACUCUGCAAAGAUUUGUGUAUAUGGAUGGACACUUAUCUAUCCCAUUAUGCCACGGGAGCUGAGCAACGGUUACAUUUAAAAAAUAAAUCAAAUACAUCUAGCGGAAAACUUCAAGGCGGACUUUUGUUUCUAAUGUAAAUGCUGUGCAAAAAGUUCUUUACUGCUUUUACGUUUCAUGUGUCGUUUGUCUUAGCGUGUUAUGCGCUAGUUAGUUGUUGUGUUUCCCCUUUUAGUAUAGUCUAUAAACUUUACUAAAAAGGAAAGUAAUAUUUCUUAGAUUUGAUAUAAGAUCUGCUGAUCACUUGGUGGACAGGUGAAUUAAGUUUGUCGCUAUUAUUAGGUCUGCUGAAUCCGAUAAAGUGUAUAAAAUAGGUAUGGUUAAUCAACAUUAAUUAUACGUAUUUUACUGUGAUCAAACUCAUAGUUCCCCGAAAUACACUACAGUAGUAACAAUGUUUUUUUGGUGCAUUGAUUACAUGGGGCAAGACAAGGGUUUUUGUUUGAUAACCAUUGUAACUCAGUGCUCCAGAUUUACUUUUACAUUAGCAUAUAAAUAACAUUUCCAAUUAAAACAAUUAACCUGAAAAUAAGAAUGUAGUUCAUUUCUUCUAAGAAACAAUCAUUGUAAGCCCAGCAGUCACACAUCGAUUACAAAAUUAACAUUUGUGAUUCAACCGAGUAAACAACCCAGAAACUAAUGACCUUUUUAUUAGCAUGUUAGCACCAUAUUAGCCCUUAAAUGCUAAGUUAGCUAACAAUCACGUUAAACAUUUCACAAAAAACUAUCCUCACCUGAUGAUCAUGGUGCGAAAUAUUAUGAAUCCAUGAAACAAUGUAAUAUUGUCUUAAUGAAGUUUACUUGUAUGUUUAUUUAAUUGUGUAUAUGUUUAUGGCGAGGUUUCGGACCACUGCUGUGGUUGUACCCCUUCUAGCAACAACCGGUUACUUUCGGUUUCUACGGAAGUUCAAAAGCGCGAGCGUCACGUGAUUCAAACUGCUGAAAUCGCAUCAUGUGACAGUAUGUACCGAAUUUGAAUAAGUAACUAACUUUCGGCCUUUAAAACAGUGCGUUCUAUAUAGUAUGAGUGGGAGUGCAUUUCGGACAUAAUAGUCUUGUUCGAGUUGACCCAUACUAGCCUCUUGCCACCGACUGGCAAGACCAGCCGGUUGCAUCCGGGGGAGGAGUAAAACGGCCGUCAGGUCGGACACUUUUCCAGUAGGGAGCUGCAGCAAACUAAGGGAUAUUCAUUUCUUUAUCAGGGAUUAAUUGAACAUGAUAGGAAUACCUGAUUAUAUGAAUUAAGAUCACUACAAUAAACAUAAAAUAUUACACAAAAAUCUAAUUUGUGAGAAUACUCGUAACCGAGUGUGUCAGAAUAUGAAUAACAUAAACACACAUAAUCAGAUUAAAGUGUGUCGUCAUCAAGGCUUUCACAGCCGAUUUUGAGCAACUGUAGCGUCUGACCUUGGCGAAUGGUCUCGUUUUGCUCUCGCGGUACUUUAAUGGCACAUUUGAUCUUAAGGCGGCUGCAGCGCCGAUCAAAGUUGGACAAAUUGUCUAACCAGAAAGCAUUGCUGUUGUCAGAAGGCUACAGAUUUUUACGCCGCCGCAUGAUGUCGAAAACAAGCCUUCUGCGUUCGCCAUGUUUUAUAGUCAUGUGACCUGUAUGCUCUUUGACCGAUGGUGUAUCAACAACCUAUACGUGAGCGUCAAUAAAAAUAUAAUUUUGUCACGAGAAAUUCAUUUAUUGGCACUAACAAUACAUAAAAAACGGAUGUCCGCCUUAAAGUUUUCCGGCAUAUUUAUUUGAUUUACUUUCGAAAUUUGACCAUUGCUCAGCUCCCGUGGCAUCGUCAGAUAGAGAAGUCCAGAGAAGUCCACAAAAACUGAGAAAGACAAAGAUGCUUUUAAAAAAGUUGGGUUGUUCUCGUGGAAAUUGUCAGGCUUUAAUAAAAUGUUAUAGUUUUAAACAUUAUUGAUCAAUUGAUGACUGUUCUGAGUGCUCCGGCUAGCCAAUGCACAAGUAUUGAGAGAAAAUAAACUAACUUAUUUCACUGACAAACACACUGAGAUCAACACUCUUCAUACAACCCUCAACAAUGGUGACAAUCGUCAUAAUAAUUCAGAUAAACGGAUCAACUGCAAUGCAUGCUGGGAGUCAUGAAUGAGUUUUGUACUAUGUUGAUACCCAGCAUGCAUUGCAGCAUGAAGCUUUCUUUUGUUGCUUGUCAUUGUUGAGUUUCAUAUGCAGAUUCUUGAUGUCUUUGUGUGUUAAAGUGGUUUACCAGAUAGUGAUUAUGUUAAUUCUUAAAAAAAUCACGGUACAUCAAACUACAGAUUAAAAGAGCUGACGUAUUGAUAAAACAAACCCAAUUAUUAAAAGUGAUCCAAACAAUUUCAAAAUGUAUAAAUUACCAUUCAGAAGUCAUCAACUCUUUGCCACAACUAUUGUAGUUUAACACACAGUUAUGGCUAAAGGAAACCUAAUUUAACAUUCAAAUAUGAGAGCCAAGAGCUCAACUAAAGCUUAAAAAGAUCACAAUAAUGGUGAUUUUUGCAGGUUCAAAAUUAAUACUGAUUCAAUUCAAUGAACAUUGAAAAAUCAUCAAUUUUUUUCAAUCAAUGGUUGCUUGUUUUCUUACUGCAUUCAAAUCAUUCAACUCAGUUUAUUUCAAAGAGUCUCACUUAAUUUAUUUACAUAUGUAAAUUGAAACUAGUCUGAUUAACUCGAAAUUACAACCAGUUUUUACUUUGUACAGACUGGACAUCAAUAUUAGACAACAAAAAUAGGAGACACCUGCAUGCAAAGCCGUAGAAACAACUACAUUUUUGGCCAAAAAGGGACAUCUUUUCAUGGAUUUAUUACUUUUGAAUGGGACUUGAGUUGCAUAAAUCCAAUUCCGAACAUGUUCAAGUACGAGUCGAGGCCGAGUCAAAAUGCACACAAGUCCAUGACAGUCCGGACGCAGUGCUUUCUCUCUCUCCCUGUUUUCCAACUGGGAUAUAUCGCCCUCUGAAGGGCCCUUUGGAGUGACAACAAUCAUGGCCAUCAUACUAAAGGGUCGUUCGAAACCGAAGUGCUCUUACAGUAACUGGCCACUUCAAAGGGCCUUUCAGAAUAUAGAUUUCGAAGGGUACAACUGAUGGUCACUUCGGGCUCCCAUGAUUCUUUGCGCAGAUUCUUUGCGUGGUGACGCCGCCUCCACUUCAAGAAACAGCCUCAUUAUUAACCUUGACUGGCAUCUAUUGUAUAGAUCUACCUUUCUUCCAAAAUACACUUUGUAGUGCACUAAUCAGUCAUUUUUGUUCUAAAUAAUAUGAUCUACAAACUAUUAUCUUUUUCCUAACAGCUUUUUCUUAUAAUUUCCAAGACUUCAACUGGUAACUGUCUAAACAUAACAUAGCAAAGUUGAUCUUGCCCUGGCGCGGUAUAGCUGCUUUUUUGUUAAUCCACUUUAAACUAGGAAAAGAAGAUUCCCUUUCACGGUGCUUUUACAAAUCUCACAGUUUUCAACAGUCACAAUAAGUUUAUAACUUUAUUUGAACCAGAUAUUAUUUGAUUACAGUAAAUAUUAUAGAACCAAACUACCGCAAAUGUAUAUGUGUAAAACAUCUCUUUCAUUAGGCUUCCUCAAUUUAUACAUUUAUUAUACACAAUUUCAAGCACUGAAAGAAAAUUAAAUUUAAUGAAAGUCAUGAACCCAACUAAAUCAAACACUCAAAAUAAUGGUGAUUUGUUGAAAAAUUUAUUUUUUUAUUUAUUGCGGAUUGUAAAGAUUUUAUUGAUUCAAUGUAAUUAAAAUUGACCAAUCAACAAUCAAUUCCUCAUCAAUUCCUAAAAGGAAUUUAUAUUUAACAUACAUUUGACAAUACAUUUUCUAGAGAAUACAUUAUAAUAUAGUCACUGGAAAUGAAAGAUAAACACGUUUCCACCACUUCUUAGUUGAACUGUAGCUGAUUUUUUUUUUGAAUUUGCUUUAGUCGAUUAGUUUUGCAUUAAAUGCAAUGUUAUUUUUGCAUAACGAUGCUAAUUCAUUGCAAUAGAGCAUAAAAAGAUGAUCCACAGAUUAAUGCGCAACAUUAAUGACAUGUAUGGACUGCGAGCCUUUUAUCUUGCACACACAGAAGUUUGUAUAAUUUUGAUUAUGAAAAAUCGUUUUUACAAGAAACAGGUUAACAAUACACACGCGCUGCCCGUGAGCAGGGCUGAGUUCACCCCCGACAAAACGGAAACGGUGGUGCUGUUGAACACACUUUUGUGAUGACGCAAGAGUUGAAAUAUGGCAGCUGAGAAGACCAUUCUUUCUGUCCUUUUUGAAGAAUUUUUAAGUUUUUAAAAUACGAGUUGAAUACUGCAAAAUACAUCUCUUCUCAUAUCUUCAAUAGUUGCAUAUACCGAGCCGCAGCGGACACAUUUGAAUAUCUUAACUUGGUGUACAAUGUAAUGUUGACACUGAAAUGUGUUAUUAUUAUCAUUUUCCAAGCACAACCGAACACAACAUAUGCUGAAAGAAGCAAGCCAACAUGGGGCUGCUGCUCAGUAUAAUAUAUUAAGCCUUGGAUACUCACACAAGGACGAAACUUAACAAUUAAACUAAAUCAAUUAAAGCAAUUCAUGUAAUAGAUAAAUGGAAAUCUUGCUGCUCUCAACCCUGGUCCGGGCAAACUUCCCAGUAGGCACCAAUCAGAGGCCACAUUUUUAUGUUGUCAUCACGUAGACUUCUUACAAAGUAUUUUGAAACUACAAAAAAUACAAACACUGAAGUAUUUUGAUGCAACAUAUGAAGCCAUUUUCAUUAACACAAUCAAAUACAAAUUACAAAAUACUAUUUUGUAUUUAAAAUACGUAUUUUAAAUACAUGUAUCAUAAAUACUGACCAGCCCUGCUUAUUUCCUGCUGUGAACACUCCAGUCUCUUCAAGGUGGAUAACACAAAUAAAACACAGGUUAUAUUGGUAGAUUUAUGUUCUUCCGUUUAAUUUUUGGAAGCAUCGGCAUCAGGCACAACAGUCGCCUAACACACACUCAAACUGCCUUAAAGGGGCAGUUGCACAAAAUAGCUUUUUAACAAAAACAUAUUAAACUAGAGUUCAACAUACAUUUAUUUUCUUGAAUAAAAUAGAGAAUAAACAAAGAGUAUAAUUAUAUAGUGAAUUAACAAAACUAAGGUUACUUAAUCAUAUAUUUUGGUACGAUUCACAUACUACAGAUUUAUACAAAUUAGCCACCUUGUUGAAUAUUUAUAACUUUUUAAUUAACAACAUUAGGGAAACAGACUCAUGACAAACAGUGGAUACAAAAGGAAAACAAUAUUCUUUACAUAAUCAGUGAUUUUAUUGAUGGUGUAUUCUGUGUAAGAAAGGAGAGGACAAUGUGGUCAGAGCAAAACUGACUUUGACUUCCUCUUUAAGAGGACAGUGUCUUACUAUGAGAGCUCUACAGUUCAGAUCGUCUUAAAUACUGUGUGAAGUGAACAACAUGAGGAUUAUUCACAUUCAGAUUUGUGAGUUUAUUACAUAUUAUGAGUAUCUCUAUUGAUAUAUGUUUAUAGACUUAUACCCAUGUUGUUUUUGCUUUUAAAUGAAUUUUCUUAUAUUGUUUUAUAUUAUCUUAUAGAUAUGUUAAUGUGGUGUAAAGCUACAGAGACUUUAGAUCAACUGACUUCUUUGGGACAAAAUGUGACUAUAAACUGUGAUCUGGAUUCUAGUGCGGUUUAUUGGAUUUUAUUGAAACAAUCUGAUUCUACAGUGAUACUGCAGUCAUUCUUAAACCCACCGAUAGCUUUUCACUUCAAUAACACAUUCAAAAAUAAAUAUUCAGUACAAUCUAAACAUCGUCUGGUCAUAUAUAAUGUCACUAAUGACGAGUUAGGAGUUUAUUACUGUAUGAACAUGGAUAAACCUCCAAAAGUCAGUAACAGCACACGACUGCACAUCAUGGGUAAGUAAUAUUUAAUUGUACCUCGAUUGCUUCACCCAUGUGAUAGAUAUGUUGUAAAUACUCAAAAUACGCAAAAUUGCAGUUUGAUAUUGUGCAUAAGUCGAGCUGACUGCAGUAACACAACACAUUUUAGAAACAACUCGUCUACAUUAGGUUGAAUAAUCACAAUGAUUUUAUAGAGAUCAGUAAAAAGGAAAACUGGACACUUUGGAAGACUUUCAGCCUCUUAUCUGGUCUGUUAAAUGCGGUUCUGAUCAUAACAGUUGUGGGUAAGUACAUGUAGUGUGGUGCUAUUUGUAAAAAUAUGAUUGCUGUUCUCUAGAUAGAUGAGGUUGUAAAUCCACAACCUUUAGUAUAUAAAUGGCAUUACUUAAUGGCUUUUUAUAAGAUUUUAAACACACACUUGUUUAAUAGUGCAAUGAGUAUAGAACAGUCUGAUAAACAUAAAGCCAAUUCGUUUAGCCAAUAGUAUUGAACAAAUGCAAUAACACCUUGUUUUCUAUUAUCACAUAAUUUAUGUGUUUAUAUAAGUCAGAUCAUCCUGUUAUUACUUUUGUAACUACUAUCUGUACGCGUUUGUAUUUUCUGUUAAGCUCCUUGGCAGCAGUGCAAAAGAAAAGUACCAUUGAAACAAAUCUGUACAAAAAAUAUAAUUAUUAUGCUACUGUUGUUUAUGGCCUAAUAUAAAAGCCUACAUAGAAGUUUUAUAGUUUCAAAAUACUGUAGCUUUCCUGUAGCUCAGUGGUAAGAGCAUUGCGUUAACAAUGCGAGGUUGUGGGUUCGAUCCCAGGGGAUUGCAAAUACCUAUGUAAAAUGUAUAGGAUAAAGCAAUGUAAGUCGCUUUGGAUAAAAGCGUCUGCCAAAUGCCUAAAUGUAAAUGUAAAUGUAAUUAGUCAAGGGAAAUUAUUUCGUUGGUAAAACCCCUGAGCUGUGCAUCAGUUACAGCACUAAUAAUACAUAUAUACAUCCAGUUUUUGUAAAACAUUCAUACAUAAAAUCCUUUGUGUUCAAAAAAGUUUAUGAAUGUUGUAGCCUGUGGCCACGUGGACAGUGCUCCACCUUGUAGUGCAACAGGUCUUCAGACGACCCAAGUUUGAGUCCACUGUGUUACACUUAGAGCUAAUAAAAGUAUAUUUAUUGGAUAGUUGGAUGUUGGACAAAAUCUGGAAAAAGCUCAGGACAAUGUCAUAACACUGACCUACAGCAGACACAAGUUACAGAACAGCAUCAGGAUACAAAUCAAGUGAAGUAUGCAGCGGUGGACUUUACCAAAAUGCAUAAAAAUGUCCGUCCCAGCAAAGACAACAGCACCUAUACUGCUUGCACCUAUGCUGCUAUAAAGCUGCCAAGGCCAAAACCACAGGAAUAUAAAUGACAUCAUAUUUAUUUCCAGUACAAAAAUAUUAACUGCUACACAAGUGUAUAACCAUUAAGAUAUUUUGACUUUUUUUGGAAUGAAGAAUAUUGAGUUUGUUUGAAGUAUUUUACCUUUUUGUUGUUGACUUAAUUUAGACAGCAUAUCUAAUGUAUGAAGUGAGUUAUCAAUGAUAAAAAUGCCUUGUUAACUGUACAAUGAUUUUAUUUGCCAUUCUGGAUUUAGGAACCAUGAACCAGUACAAUGCUCAGAUUUUGCUGAUAAUAAACUUUUAAAAACUAUAAUCAACUUUUUUAGAUCAUAUAUGUUUGUUUUAAAGCAGUUUGAAAAGUGUUUUUGCAUGUCAAGCUAUAUACACAUGGAUGCUGCUUUUGCAUUUACUAAGGUGCAUGUACAGUACAUGAAUAGUUUGUUUUACAUUGCACAAGCAUUUAAAACAUUGUUCAAACACUUUCCAAUAAAGAUAUGUGAAGUUUA
Molecule: long non-coding RNA, 12705 nt
Organism: Triplophysa dalaica
Lineage: Eukaryota; Metazoa; Chordata; Actinopteri; Cypriniformes; Nemacheilidae
Exons: 2
Source: RefSeq, a predicted model, not a curated record